UGCCCAAGUAAAAAAUCUGUUAACACAAUUAGAAGUUUUGACCAGCCAAGGAUGUAUUGAUGCAAGUGUUAUCAAAAGCUCUAAUUCCAGUGGAUAUCCAGGGUAUGUAGCCAUAAUUUUGUGGAGCUUCNNNNNNCAAAAUCUCAUUUUGUAUAUCUGUUGAAUUCAUCAAUAUGGUGUAUAUCUGUAAACCAGGAAGUCCAUCAGAAGGUCCACCUUCAUACACGUCGAUAAACCCACUUGUG
This 245-nucleotide unclassified non-coding RNA is filed under the name Hevea brasiliensis (rubber tree). The record is from RNAcentral. Lineage: Eukaryota; Viridiplantae; Streptophyta; Magnoliopsida; Malpighiales; Euphorbiaceae.